This is a long non-coding RNA of Cyprinus carpio carpio, 1456 nucleotides long. The record is from Ensembl. NCBI's taxonomy places the organism in Eukaryota, Metazoa, Chordata, Actinopteri, Cypriniformes, Cyprinidae.
CUCGAACUAUUUUUGUCCACAGAUACGGAUUCCAGUCCUCGAUAACACUCCUCUUCAGCCCUUCCUCGACACACUCCACUUCAGCCCUUAAUUUCCAGCCGACUCCACUCCAGGUAAGUUUAAAGCAAGAGCUAGGCAGUUGACGUGCAGGGACUUUCUGGCUCUGGGGGGGGGGGGUGGACUUCAAGACCCAAGGCUGAGCUGUUAGCGUGCAGGGGUUCUAGCUCUCAGGUAAGUACAAAGUUCAAUACACAGGUGGGUAUUCACAGGGCUGGGCUGUUAGCGUGCAGGGGUUCUAGCUCCCAGGUAAGUACAGCGUUCAAUACACAGGUGGGUAUUCACAGGGCUGGGCUGUUAGUGUGCAGGGGUUCUAGCUCACAGGUAAGUACAGAAUUCAAUACACAGGUGGGUAUUCACAGGGCUGGGCUGUUAGCGUGCAGGGGUUCUAGCUCCCAGGUAAGUACAGCGUUCAAUACACAAGUGGGUAUUCACAGGGCUGGGCUGUUAGUGUGCAGGGGUUCUAGCUCACAGGUAAGUACAGAAUUCAAUACACAGGUGGGUAUUCGCAGGGCUGGGCUGUUAGCGUGCAGGGGUUCUAGCUCUCAGGUAAGUACAGAAUUCAAUACACAGGUGAGCAUUCACAGGGCUGGGCUGUUAACUGGCUACUCACCACUGAAGAUAUUCAGAGGUCGGUAUUCCAAGCAGAUACGGGUUUGGUCGAUGACUGACGGCUGGUGGGCCUUACAGGUGAGACUGCAAACAAUACUGGGCUUCCCGCCCAGCUUGGCAAGGGGGCACACGGGGGAGGAUCGGCUGUUGUCCUUCGCUUCCCUCGUCAAAGAGACAGCACAGACGACACGCACAAGGCCGGUGGUUGCUGACAAGGCCAAUGACACAACGUCACGUGGAUGAAAAGGUAAGGCUUUGAUUUAAAAGCUUACAGAGAUCGCUGUGUGGGCGACGUCAUCCAACCUCCUCCAGAGGCGCCUCCAACACGUCCAAGCUCCAGCUUACUUAAGGUAAAGACUGUGGUUGCCACCAAUACACUGCUCCUCUCUGUCAGGCCUCUUCCUACGACCGGGGACACAACCACGGACAAACACCACACACCACAAAGGCACUACAAUUCUUCUCGUGUGUACACUUCAAUAUAGCAGCACUCACCGCACUCCACACACUCAGUGAAAGAAGAUCCGUGGUGUAUUCCCGUUUCGGGCUCAGAGUCCUGGCGGGGCGUGUCAGAUGGACGAAGGCAGGGGGCAGACCACAGCAGGCGUAUAUAUCGUACACCGGAGUCUCUCCGUCUUUCCCAGCGAUCUCCAACGCAAGGCACUACUAUCAACACUGAGUAAACACACAAGCACUGAGGAUUAUUAGAUCAACACAAGAGAGGGGGGGGGGGGGAUUACCCACUGCUACGGAGAAAUAUGCAGUCGGAACACUUUCUUAAAGGCAG